Long non-coding RNA from Magnolia sinica, 3221 nucleotides. RefSeq lists it as uncharacterized. NCBI's taxonomy places the organism in Eukaryota, Viridiplantae, Streptophyta, Magnoliopsida, Magnoliales, Magnoliaceae. The transcript has 4 exons. The record is from RefSeq and is a predicted model, not a curated record.
AACACAACAUCACUGGGGAAAUGGAUUUGGCACUUUGAGGUAGAGGAAGGGAGGCUUUAGAGACGGGUGAUAGUGGGUAAGUAUAGUAUGCAAGAGGGAGGGUGGUUCAUGAGAAAGGCUUCCCUUUAUAGAGCUUCGAUAGUUUGGAAAGUGGUGGUGGAGAUAGACUAUCUAGUUAGGCGUGGGAUCUCUUUCAAGCUGGGCAAAGGUAAUCAUAUUUGAUUUUGGAUUAGCCCUUGGCGUGGUAGUCAAACUCUUCAAAAUCUUUUUCUGAUAAUUGCUCGUCUUGCUCUUGACAGAUUUGUUACGGUGGCUAAGUGCUAUUCGUUGGUUGAGGGAUUGAUAGUCUAUCCCCACCAUGCCGUAGGGACAUUCUUGAAGGCAAAAUUGAUGAGGUGGCUAAGCUUCUUAACCACCUGAGCAACGUUUAGCCCGAGCUGCAUCAAGAUGAUUACAUGCAUUGGUCCAAACAUCAGUCGGGAAAGUUCUCGGUUAAGUCCUUUUUUGAGCUGAUCAUUGAGGCCCCCUCCCCGUCAGGCUCGGCUUACUCGUUCCGUUUCUAUUUCUAUGGGGCUCCUCCUAGGGUCACGGCCUUUGUGUGGCUCCUUGGUUGGGAGAGAGUUCUUACGAUAUAUAAUUACCAAGGAGAUCCCUCUUGCUCUCUAACAUUUGCCUCAGUGUAUGGCGAAUGGGGAGUCAGUUGAUCAUCUCUUCAUUCAUUGCUCUUUUGUCCGCCAAGUUUGGGAUUACUUCUUGAAUUGCUUGCAAAUGGCUUGUGCAAUGCCAAAAAUGGUUGCAGAAUUAAUUUGGGCGUGGCACAACGGAGGAGUUGGUAAAUCAAGAAAGUUGAUUUGGAGAUUGCUCCUAAUGGCGGUUUUUUGGGUCUUGUGGGGAGCUUGGAAUGGUCCUUGUUUUAACAACAAGGUUGUUAGUCUAGAAAGGUUAUCUACAAAAUUGAAACUUUGAUGUAAGUUGGGUGGUGUGUGCGUAGGUCGCCAUGAGUGGUUCUCUGUUUUUGUUUUUGUGUUGGGGGUUGUAUUCUUUGUCCGCUGUUGCGAUGUUUCAGUAAAUUAUCAUUACCUCUGAAAAAAAGUAUAUUAGGUGCUUGUAUUGGCAUACCUUCUCUAUGCAUACCUAUGUUCUAGUGACUCUUGAGUAGAUGGGCAACUAAUCUUGUGGUCAACCAGUGCCCUGCUAAAUGGUAUUUCUGUCGCUGGUCAAUAGAUUUACCAACUCAUCUGUUUGGGCUACUAGACCCUUGGUCUAAACAGUGGAAAGAGGGGCCAUAUUUAGAGGUCAGAAAGCAUUGGAUUUAAAGGCCAGAUUGGGCACUUUAAAUUAGCAGUUUCUCAGAAAUAAAUCUCAUGCUCAACCCUCAUUUGAAGCUUAAGGGAAUAUGUCCUAAACUGUAAUCUUCCAAAACCUUGCAAGUUAGUGUUUUCCUUGCAUGUUUCUAAUGGCCUUGAUCAGUCUCCAAUUUGUCAUUUAACCAAUUAGAUUGAACUGAAUUCAGCAAAUUGAUUCAGGGGUGGAACUGCAGUUACCAAUCUUUGAGUUACUUGUGUCUUUGCAAGCAAGCGUGGUUACUAUGAGUAGCACAAGGAGGUAGACAGAUGAAGAAGUUACAAGGAGCUCAUUGAUGCCUUGAUGAAUGGUGGAGCUUUCGCAUGGUCAAAUAAGCAAUAAACGUCGACCAAUCUGAUGGGUUAAGCGUUGCUGAAAGGAAGUAUGCUAUGUCUGUAUAAAUGCUGCUGGAAUACAGUGGCAUGAUUGCAGCUGUCACAAUGAACACCAAAGUAUCGGACUGGAGCCUAUCUCAGACGGCUGUGGCUGCUCUCCGUGACUCUCAACAUUGUUAUUGUUGGCCUCUUGAUUGAUACUUGGCCAUGGAGCUCGCUAGUGAAUGGUCAGUCUCAAAUGCGUUGCUGUGGAGGAUUACAGUAUGAUUGAAGGGGCUCAUUUGGCACCCCUAGAGAAACAGGUGUCUUCAAGCAGAUCCAGGCAGAUAUUCCAAACUCAGUCAGAUGCCUCUUUUUUUACCGAGGAUGCUACUAUGUGAUUAAUCUCAGGAAUGGUGCAUUUCCAGCAGGAGAAGUGAUCAACAAUCACUGGAUGCAUGCUAACUUGCAUCCAGUCCAUCUUUCCGGGUAAAACGUCAUUUGUGUAGGUCAUUCAAACCAUGAAAACGAUGGGCCCCACUAUCAAGAUUCCCUGCACAAAAGUGACUCUGAUCUGCUCAUUAGGCAGGACACAUGGGCACGUUUAGUGGGAUUGGCAGCUGUCCAUGAGUUUUGAUGGUGUCCCACCUAAUGAGUGGACUGGACUGAUUUUUGUGCCACAUGAAAUUCACGUAUGGGUUGGCUGUUUGCAUGGAUCCAAUGUGCUAUAAAAAUGAUGCGUUGGUGAGAAACAUGGGGCUGCAUGCCAAGCAACCUGCAGCGGGUUGUAGGUGAUCAGUCUUCUUUCCACAUUCCAGCUCUCUUGCUCAUAACCUGGGGUGCUCCCCUCCUUGGAUUGGCUAUAGUCUAGACAUCCCACUGAUUGGACAAUACCACCAUCCAAUUGGAGGGCUCUUGCUUAUUAAAUGUGAAAAGUUGCUCUUUAUUUAUUUAUUUAUUUUUUACUUUCAGCCGAGUCCAUGAUGGUGAAGAUCACCUGAUCAGCAUGGUAGUUGAAGGCAGUGCCUCCAGAUGAAUGGGCCCGAGCCACAAAGGCACUUCUAGUCCUAUGCUAUCAUUUAUUUGUCUGCAUGCCUAAGUUUUGAUGAGCCCAAAUCCACCUCUAUGCUCGCUGCUUCAUGUUGGACUUACUGACUUUUGCAUCUAGUAGGCCCCACCAUGUACAUGACCUGGCCCAAAGAAUGAUGCGCAUCCACUCUGCUGACGUGUUUAAGUGGAUCUUUUUUUUUUUUUUUUUUUUUUUUUCAGGUUAUCUACCAUUGUGCCUCCUGACGUGUUAAGCGGGUCUUGAAGGGGGGACCAUUACCAAUCUAUGUAAUCUACUGUUGUGCCUCCUUUUGCAGGGCUCAGAUGCUAAUCUUCCAUGCCAAAUUUACAUGCGGCCCGUAACAGCGCACACCUGUAUGAUAUAUGUGAACCCUUCAUCAGGCAGGCAACCCCACGGAUGCAAUAUUGGUACAAAAUCAGGUUCGUCGGACGAUACUACUUGAUUUGGGUAUUGAGGAUGGAUCUUUGUCAAUGUUUAUUUAUUUAUUUAUUUAU